Molecule: unclassified non-coding RNA, 21 nt
Filed under: Mus musculus (house mouse)
Lineage: Eukaryota; Metazoa; Chordata; Mammalia; Rodentia; Muridae
Description: oocyte_clustered_small_RNA13264
Source: RNAcentral
UUUGCAGCAUACUUGUCUAGC